GGAACUGGCUGGCACACAGUGGAUCGCUUUCUUAGCUGCUUCCUGUUGGUGGUUGUGUAUAUCUAAAGGGAAGAUGACAGCCAGAAACCACCAUGAGAAAGAAAGCAGCUGCUUUAAUGAGUAGGGCAGAUUAAUGUGGAGAGGGUAAUUCCUGGGAAAUAUGUCUUCACACCUAGAAGUCAGACCAUCCUGGGUUGCUGAGAUGCAGGUGCUCGCCCAGCAGCUUCACAGUGUCCAUCUUAGACUUUUUCUGGAAAAACAAACAAACAAACAAAAAACAGUGUUGACCAUAAA
Molecule: long non-coding RNA, 294 nt
Filed under: Mus pahari (shrew mouse)
Lineage: Eukaryota; Metazoa; Chordata; Mammalia; Rodentia; Muridae
Description: lncRNA (MGP_PahariEiJ_G0003743.1)
Source: RNAcentral